Molecule: long non-coding RNA, 528 nt
Organism: Coffea arabica (coffee)
Lineage: Eukaryota; Viridiplantae; Streptophyta; Magnoliopsida; Gentianales; Rubiaceae
Source: RefSeq, a predicted model, not a curated record
UUCAGAACCGCAUUUCAUUUCAUUUCAUUUCUUCUGCUGCAACGGACGGCUAGCAGCUGCAAGGGACAACCGAAGCUUCACCAUUUCUUUCUUCCAAAACUCAUCCAAAUCCUUACCAAAACUUCCCUAGAUUCUCACCAAACUUCACAUUCAUUUAGCUUUUCACUUGGACAACAACUUAGCUGCAAAAGGAAGGAGCUAUCCACGGUUUCUUCAAGCUUCAAAGGGCCGAAAAAUCUGUCCUAACCAGCCAUCAAAGUAGGCACGCACGAGCGACCUCCAAGAGGACCCUACCGUGGAAGUUUGAACUCUCCCUCCAACCUACUUGCUUGCAUAACUGGUUUGAACUCGGAGGUAAAAUGGAGAAGCCCUCUUGAUGUACUUUUGUUUAGGGCUUGUUAUUACUUUUGGUUAUGCCUUUGGUUUUGGAAUUGUACUUUUGGUAUGGAAAUGUGACCUGAGAACUGUCACUGUUGGUAUCAGAGCCAUAUGCCGACAAUUGGGACUUAAGUCCUUCGUCUGGAAAAG